GUUGUGUUUGUGAUGCGAUUCAUGUUUACUGUUGAAUACUGAUACCAGACUUUCAUUUUCACUGUAGAGCGAUUUAUUACUGUUGUAUAUGCGAUGCAUUUUCACAGACAGAAGGAUUUAAUUAAUUUUCAUCAUAAAGUCGUAAUUUAGCCGACUCUCUAACAUAAUUUAUGAAGUCAGAAGGAUUGAUCAUGUAUGCAUACUUUG
Molecule: long non-coding RNA, 207 nt
Filed under: Mytilus galloprovincialis (Mediterranean mussel)
Lineage: Eukaryota; Metazoa; Mollusca; Bivalvia; Mytilida; Mytilidae
Source: RNAcentral